AACCAAAGGCUUCAAGGCCUCAGUCUGCGUUACUGUGGUCUGGGACCUCAGAGCGGGCUAAGGCUGGGUUCGGUCAUCAGCCAGAGUGCCAUUUGCGAGCUGUUCCUUGAUGGCAAUUACUUGGAAUGUUCCGGAGCACUGGCUCUUCUCAGGCCCAUAGCAGGCUUUGCGGAGACACAGGGGGAAGACCAGCCAGCCCCAGGCUCACCAGACACUGGAAAUCCCCCUCAGCGGCUCCAAGCCAAACAGAGAGGAAGUUCAACUAUGAACCAGAUUACAAAAUCGUCUGAAGCUGUAACAGUGAAAACUACUUCAGGGAAGAAAAAGAGAAAAAAAGGAAUCAAGAAGAAAAUUGAAGGUCUGAUGGAAAGUGGUCCUUGGUUAGUGAAGUUGCAUUAGGCAGAUAAUGGCAUAGAUGGAAAAGGAAGAGAAGGAGAAAAUGGUUUAUUGGAAUUCAUUCAAACUUUAACAUGCCUGAUCAAAUACUCUGCCUACUUAAGGGAAAUUGACCUUGGAAACAAUGUUCUGGGAGAAAUGGCUGCUGCUAACAUACUU
RNAcentral lists this long non-coding RNA (555 nucleotides) under Homo sapiens (human). Its description in RNAcentral is "non-protein coding lnc-RNF7-2:3". The record is from RNAcentral. Lineage: Eukaryota; Metazoa; Chordata; Mammalia; Primates; Hominidae.